ACCGCCUAAGGAUCUUGUUAAAAUGCAGAUUCUGAUUCAUUUAGUAGGUCUAGGAGGGACCUGAGAUCCUGCCUUUUUAACAAGUUCCUAGGUGAUGCCUA
Molecule: microRNA precursor, 101 nt
Filed under: Camelus bactrianus (Bactrian camel)
Lineage: Eukaryota; Metazoa; Chordata; Mammalia; Artiodactyla; Camelidae
Also listed under: 3 other names
Description: mir-544 microRNA precursor family
Rfam family: mir-544 microRNA precursor family
Source: Rfam by way of RNAcentral